RNAcentral lists this ribosomal RNA (1370 nucleotides) under uncultured bacterium. RNAcentral describes it as "bacterial SSU rRNA". It matches the Rfam family "Bacterial small subunit ribosomal RNA", at positions 28 to 1381 of the family's 1533-position model. The record is from RNAcentral.
GAUGAACGCUGGCGGCGUGCCUAAUACAUGCAAGUCGAGCGAACGGACGAGAAGCUUGCUUCUCUGAUGUUAGCGGCGGACGGGUGAGUAACACGUGGAUAACCUACCUAUAAGACUGGGAUAACUUCGGGAAACCGGAGCUAAUACCGGAUAAUAUUUUGAACCGCAUGGUUCAAAAGUGAAAGACGGUCUUGCUGUCACUUAUAGAUGGAUCCGCGCUGCAUUAGCUAGUUGGUAAGGUAACGGCUUACCAAGGCAACGAUGCAUAGCCGACCUGAGAGGGUGAUCGGCCACACUGGAACUGAGACACGGUCCAGACUCCUACGGGAGGCAGCAGUAGGGAAUCUUCCUCAAUGGGCGAAAGCCUGACCGACCAACGCCGCGUGAGUGAUGAAUGUCUUCGGAUCGUAAAACUCUGUUAUUAGGGAAGAACAUAUGUGUAAGUAACUGUGCCCAUCUUGACUGUACCUAAUCAGAAAGCCACGGCUAACUACGUGCCAGCAGCCGCGGUAAUACGUAAGUGGCAAGCGUUAUCCUGAAUUAUUGGGCGUAAAGCGCGCGUAGCGGUUUUUUAGUCUGAUGUGAAAGCCCACGGCUCAACCGUGGAGGGUCAUUGGAAACUGGAAAACUUGAGUGCAGAAGAGGAAAGUGGAAUUCCAUGUGUAGCGGUGAAAUGCGCAGAGAUAUGGAGGAACACCAGUGGCGAAGGCGACUUUCUGGUCUGUAACUGACGCUGAUGUGCGAAAGCGUGGGGAUCAAACAGGAUUAGAUACCCUGGUAGUCCACGCCGUAAACGAUGAGUGCUAAGUGUUAGGGGGUUUCCGCCCCUUAGUGCUGCAGCUAACGCAUUAAGCACUCCGCCUGGGGAGUACGACCGCAAGGUUGAAACUCAAAGGAAUUGACGGGGACCCGCACAAGCGGUGGAGCAUGUGGUUUAAUUCGAAGCAACGCGAAGAACCUUACCAAAUCUUGACAUCCUUUGACAACUCUAGAGAUAGAGCCUUCCCCUUCGGGGGACAAAGUGACAGGUGGUGCAUGGUUGUCGUCAGCUCGUGUCGUGAGAUGUUGGGUUAAGUCCCGCAACGAGCGCAACCCUUAAGCUUAGUUGCCAUCAUUAAGUUGGGCACUCUAAGUUGACUGCCGGUGACAAACCGGAGGAAGGUGGGGAUGACGUCAAAUCAUCAUGCCCCUUAUGAUUUGGGCUACACACGUGCUACAAUGGACAAUACAAAGGGCAGCGAAACCGCGAGGUCAAGCAAAUCCCAUAAAGUUGUUCUCAGUUCGGAUUGUAGUCUGCAACUCGACUACAUGAAGCUGGAAUCGCUAGUAAUCGUAGAUCAGCAUGCUACGGUGAAUACGUUCCCGGGUCU